Molecule: signal recognition particle RNA, 312 nt
Filed under: Methanomicrobia archaeon
Lineage: Archaea; Methanobacteriati; Methanobacteriota; Methanomicrobia
Description: signal recognition particle sRNA
Rfam family: Archaeal signal recognition particle RNA
Source: RNAcentral
GUGCGGGCUAGCCCGGGGGGCUCGGCGUCCCCUGUGACCCGAAACCGUCGAUAUGCGGGGGGCGAAGCUCGAGGGCGGCUUCCGCUUGCCGUCGCGUCACGCAGGGCUUAACGGUGAGGCAUCGUCCUGCGGGGCCGCCGUUGGCGUGGCGGCUGGCUGGAGGGCCGGUCGUGCGCCUUUGCCGCGGGCACCGGUUUAGGCCCGGAAGGGAGCGGACCCACCGUGGGCGGUCGGCGCUCGUGGGGUAGCGGUGCUGAGCGACGCCCUGUGGCGGCGUUGCGGCAAUGAAGCCCACCGAGAGCGUGCCCGCAC